This is a long non-coding RNA of Drosophila serrata, 432 nucleotides long. The record is from RefSeq and is a predicted model, not a curated record. Lineage: Eukaryota; Metazoa; Arthropoda; Insecta; Diptera; Drosophilidae.
UUCCAUUUUGACUGAAUUUAUUAUUGCAAAUUACUGUAGUGUAGCAACUUAUACAAUAGUGAGCGGAGGAGUUCAUUGGAUUAUUACAAAAGUGUCCGAGGGAUGAAUCCUUUUAAGUCUGCGCCUUGCCCGCCGAGACGCAAGUCUCCUGGCUAGAAUGUUUGGGGAACUUUAAGGUCCCUCGCUAGGUCAGUGUUCCGAAUAAACCACUCAGCACCAGUAAUUCUCCGCAGGAACUUGCUUUGGAAGACCCGGAUGUAACUCAGAUUAGAUUUGGCCGCUAUGCCAUAAACUUGAAUCCCAUAUCUCCAAGUAGGGGCAAGUAUGGACUUGUAUAUCUGGACCUUAUUCGCCAGACUCAGGUGAUUAUUUGCCUUUAGGAGCCAGUACAGCCUUCUGGCUUUAUCCUCCAAUGAACGCCUAACUAACCUU